Molecule: ribosomal RNA, 279 nt
Filed under: uncultured bacterium
Lineage: Bacteria
Description: partial 16S ribosomal RNA
Rfam family: Bacterial small subunit ribosomal RNA
Source: RNAcentral
UGCCAGCCGCCGCGGUAAUACGGAGGGUGCAAGCGUUAUCCGGAUUUAUUGGGUUUAAAGGGUCCGCAGGCGGACUUGUAAGUCAGUGGUGAAAGCCUUCAGCUUAACUGGAGAACUGCCAUUGAUACUGCUAGUCUUGAGUUCGGUUGAAGUGGGCGGAAUAUGUGGUGUAGCGGUGAAAUGCAAAGAUAUCACAUAGAACACCUAUUGCGAAGGCAGCUCACUAAGCCGAUACUGACGCUCAGGGACGAAAGCGUGGGGAGCGAACAGGAUUAGAUA